Molecule: ribosomal RNA, 232 nt
Filed under: uncultured bacterium
Lineage: Bacteria
Description: partial 16S ribosomal RNA
Rfam family: Bacterial small subunit ribosomal RNA
Source: RNAcentral
UGGGUGAUCUGCCCUGCACUUCGGGAUAAGCCUGGGAAACUGGGUCUAAUACCGGAUAUGACCUUGGGAUGCAUGUCCUUUGGUGGAAAGCUUUUGCGGUGUGGGAUGGGCCCGCGGCCUAUCAGCUUGUUGGUGGGGUAAUGGCCUACCAAGGCAACGACGGGUAGCCGGCCUGAGAGGGCGACCGGCCACACUGGGACUGAGACACGGCCCAGGCUCCGUACGGGAGGCA